Molecule: small RNA, 592 nt
Filed under: Pongo abelii (Sumatran orangutan)
Lineage: Eukaryota; Metazoa; Chordata; Mammalia; Primates; Hominidae
Description: processed transcript
Source: RNAcentral
CCUCUUGUCCCCCAGUGCUGUGGACCAUAACUGUCUGUUUUUCUAUUUAAGCUUCUGGCCAAUAGGACAUGAGCUGGCCUCAUGGCUCCACCCUGAAGCCCUUUCUCCUUACUGUGGGCUGCACACUGCAGGAAGAUUCAGCUGAAGAAAGAUAACUCUUCCACACAAGUGUACAACUACCAACCCUGCGACCACCCAGACCGCCCCUGUGACAGCACCUGCCCCUGCAUCAUGACUCAGAAUUUCUGUGAGAAGUUCUGCCAGUGCAACCCAGACUUGCGAGAAUGUGACCCUGACCUGUGUCUCACCUGUGGGGCUUCAGAGCACUGGGACUGCAAGGUGGUUUCCUGUAAAAACUGCAGCAUCCAGCGUGGCCUUAAGAAGCACCUGCUGCUGGCCCCCUCAGAUGUGGCCGGAUGGGGCACCUUCAUAAAGGAGUCUGUGCAGAAGAACGAAUUCAUUUCUGAAUACUGUGGUGAGCUCAUCUCUCAGGAUGAGGCUGAUCGACGCGGAAAGGUCUAUGACAAAUACAUGUCCAGCUUCCUCUUCAACCUUAAUAAUGAUUUUGUAGUGGAUGCUACUCGGAAAGGAA